ACACCGUUAAAUAUGAUCUAGGAUAUAUGAAGUUCCUACGAAUAAAAUUUUAGUUUUUUUCGACAUCGUUUACUUAGUAAAUAAAUUAUGUCAAAAUGGACGGUAGAAAUUGAAUAAUCUUUAAAAUUUGAGUAUAGGACUUUUAAAUUCAAGAUCAAGAAUGUUAACCUUAAUCUAGAUAAUUUAAAGUAUUUUCUAUCAAAAUUUGAAGAAAUUUAGAUUUUUCUAUACCGUUAAACUCCAAACUCGCUAUAGUAGCCAUUGAAAAUUGACAAUUUUGAAAUGGUUUGAUCAUAAAGUAAACUAUGUCGAAAAAAUAUAAAAUUUUAUUUGUAAAAACUUUGAAUACCCUAUAUCAGUUUUAACGGUGUGAAUCGUUGAUUUGAACACCCUAAGAUCGAAAACGAGACUAUAGUACCGGAGUCCCGGUACUAUAGAUAGUAUAGGAGACUAGCUCUAUAUAUAUAUAUAUAUAUAUAUAUAUAUAUAUAUAUAUAUAUAUAUGAAUUGAGCUUCUAUGCUUUUAAAAGUACCAAGUUAUUGGUGCUUGUAGGUUUUUAGCCAUUGGAUUAAGAGAUAUGCGAUUAGGAUGAUGUGGGCCCCCUAGGGUUGAGUGGGUGGUUGGUUGAAUAGUAUGAUCUAAUGGUUAAAAAUGAUCCGAGAAGUAGAUCUAACGGUAAAAAACUUACAAGCACUAAGUGCUUGGUGCUUUUACAAGCACCAUAGCAGGAGUCU
Molecule: long non-coding RNA, 735 nt
Filed under: Ananas comosus (pineapple)
Lineage: Eukaryota; Viridiplantae; Streptophyta; Magnoliopsida; Poales; Bromeliaceae
Description: long non-coding RNA (ACOM_LNC036316)
Source: RNAcentral